RNAcentral lists this ribosomal RNA (253 nucleotides) under uncultured bacterium. Its description in RNAcentral is "partial 16S ribosomal RNA". It matches the Rfam family "Bacterial small subunit ribosomal RNA", at positions 524 to 776 of the family's 1533-position model. The record is from RNAcentral.
UACGGAGGGUGCAAACGUUGCUCGGAAUCAUUGGGCGUAAAGCGCGCGUAGGCGGUCCAGCAAGUCGGGUGUGAAAGCCCUCGGCUUAACCGAGGAAGUGCAUUCGAAACUACUGGACUUGAGUACUGAAGAGGAUCGCGGAAUUCCCGGUGUAGAGGUGAAAUUCGUAGAUAUCGGGAGGAACACCAGUGGCGAAGGCGGCGAUCUGGGCAGAUACUGACGCUGAGGUGCGAAAGCGUGGGGAGCAAACAGG